This is a long non-coding RNA of Homo sapiens (human), 922 nucleotides long. Ensembl annotates it as TTN antisense RNA 1. Its record names the gene TTN-AS1. NCBI's taxonomy places the organism in Eukaryota, Metazoa, Chordata, Mammalia, Primates, Hominidae. The record is from Ensembl.
UGAUAUUGAAAGAGGAAAUGGGGAAUAAGACAAGUGCAUAAUAAACACUAGGAAAGAGGCACAUAUAAAGUGAUCCUGGGGUUGGAUGAGGAAGAGAUCAUAUACAAAUGGAGAGAUUAAGGAAGGUUUAAUGGAGAAGGUGACGUUUGAGGUAGGCCUAGAAGAACAUUUGUAAUUUAGGCUGGUGGGAAUGGUGUUGCAAGUACUAUUGGCUUUGGGAACAGCAUAAGCAGAGGCAUGGAAGUGGGAAACUGAAAGGAAUUUUGGGGGAAAUGAAUAAUAAUUUCUUAAAAUAACAAUCACUCCUCGUAAGAAUUUAGGUUAAUAAAUAUACCAACCUGCCACAGUAAGUUUUCCAGAUGUCAUAUUUUCUCCCGCGUAAAAUGUGUAUUUUCCUUCAUCAUCUUUCAUCAUAUUUAGAACUGUCAAUUUAUAUAUUUUUCCAUGUGCUUCAAUUUUAUAUUUAGAACUGGGCUUGAUUUCCUUGUCCUUAAAAUUCCACAGGACAUCAAUUCCAGAGUGGGACAGCUCAACCUCAAACACCACAUUUUGAGUUUCUGUACAGGUUGUCUUUUUCCCGUCGAUGACAAAGCUGUAUUCUCCCUGGUCCUCCUUGGUUACAUCCUUGACCGUGAGGUUCUGACGUCCACGACGAGAUGUAAUUGUAUAUUUGCCAUUGGAUUUAAGCUCCACAUCAUUAUGAUACCAUUUUCCUUCUAUAUUUUCUGGGGAUACAAUGCACUCUAAUUCUCCUGAAUAUGAUUCUGGAACUUCUAUGUCCUGAAGUUCUUUCACAAACUCAACAACUGCACCUGAAGUGUAUAACAGAAAGAUAAAUCAAUUUUUUUGGAGAGGUGCAACAUACCAUGAAGAUUAAGGAAACUUAGCAACAGUGAACUUGGACCUUCUAAUAGCUGUCUAA